This 567-nucleotide long non-coding RNA is filed under the name Panax ginseng (ginseng). RNAcentral's name for it is "long non-coding RNA (PGIN_LNC000429)". Lineage: Eukaryota; Viridiplantae; Streptophyta; Magnoliopsida; Apiales; Araliaceae. The record is from RNAcentral.
AUAUAUAUAUAUUCCCUACGAAUUAUUGUAGUAUGAUAUGAUAUGAGGACAAACUAGUCAUAUUACUACUAUUAUAGUUCUCUCUAUUUCUUAAACUACUUAAUUAGACCUCUAAUUAUAAAUAAGUUAGUAUUAACAAUAUUAGUUCUAACAGAUCAACUAUUUCAAUGUUUUUCUAUGGAAACACGCUUAUUAAAUAUUGCAAGGAUAGAUAUAUAAAGUGAGAGAUGCCAUAAUAGGAAAAGGGUUUGAGCUAGGAGGACAAGUUGUCGCAAGAAUUAAUUCAGUAUAACGAAUUAACUUAAAUACAAAAGGAAAGGAGAAUUCUCCAUUGGGGCCAUUUAUUUUACAAGAGAAGGCAAAGGAAAAAAAAACUUAAUUGCUCUUAUUUCAAGUUUGAAGGUAAGCUUCCGACUCUUUUACACUUACUUGAAGAUAUAAGUACGUACUGUUUGUCUAGAGUUCUGCAUGUUAUUCGCCAUAUAUAUUUUUUGUGCCUUUUGAUAUAGUAUAUGAUCUUUAUCUCGGUUCUUGUAGUAAAUAUUGAAUCAUCAUCAUUGUCAUAAA